AAAAUACUGGACACAUUGUGAAGUGAUCAGCUUAAAGGCAGAACUCAGCAACGGAAGUAGUCAUCGACUAAUAAUCGCUCAGUCAAAUUAGAAACGUCCCGUCUUCUGUUAUGGAAUCUGAAGUUUUUUAAGGUUGUUGCGGGAAAAUGCCCUGUAUUUAUAAAAAUAUGAGGCAAAUGCUAUAUGAUGGAUGUGAGCUGUUGCCCUAUCAUUCUAUGAGAAUAACAUGAACCAAAAAUAUAUUUAAAAAGAAUGUAAUGUUAUUACAAUAUUCAAACACAGAUUUUUAUGUCCUUAUUGAAAAUUAACCUGGUAGAUAUGCUUUUGAGCAGCUCUUGCAUGGAGCUACUGUAUAAAUACAUUCUCAAUAUUUAAGAAUACCAGGUGAUUAAAAAAUUGACAGAUUAACAAAUGAUAUAUAUGGGACAGAUUCAGAAUUCAGAAUCUGUUGGUGCUAUCCUUUGUUUAUUUGUCAAAUUGAUGUAUAAUGGUCUACUGAGGGUUUACUGUAUAUAUGAACCUAAAGACAAGAAUCUUCAAAGACUCAUGCUGCCAUACGAACAAGUAAAGAAAUAAAAGAAUAUUUCUGGUUAUGUUGCACUUCAAGAACAGCAUUAAAUGUCCAGGAAAUAUGGCACAUUUAUUUGAAAACACUAGUUGUCAUGUGUUAAACUCUAUUUUAUUGUUUGUAACAUUGUCAAUUUGAUAUAACUAGUUUUGAACACCAUGCUCAUACAUAUACAUACAUAUCAUGAUAAUGAUACUACAGGGUGGGUAGGAAGUAAGUAGGCAUUGAGAAAUGGUUAUAACCUCUAUAUUUCCAAUGCAAAUAUAUUAUUUAAUGCCUACUUACUUCCCAUCCACAAUCUAAGCAAUAAUAUACAACUUACUUUAUCUUUUUGAAAUAAAUACAAACAUCUACUUUCCUUCAGUCUGCAUGACGAAAUAUGUGCACCUAUUCAGGUACUAUCUUUGACUAUAUGGUUAAAUCAGAGAUUGUAUAGUAUUUCAUUUUCCAGUUAUUAAAUAAAUAAAACAACUGAAGACCAUAAAUAUCUGCUGAAACCAUGCAGGUAUGAAGGACACACUAAAUUGUUAUUACUGAUAAAAUUUGAUUAUAUUCACAAAAACUAAUAAAGAAAAACUUUUUGCCAAGGGUAUGCCUAAUGUCAAGAUAUCUUACAAAUUAUAGGGUUAAGCCAUUACAGAAUGUUCACUCUGUACACAUGAAGUAUACAUAACAGCAGUUGACAAUCUUCAUUUAUGAAGACUGAUCUGAAAUGACCUGCAUUUCAAAAUAUGUCCUGUCAUGUAUUUUACAUCUAUUCUGCAGUACCAACAUGCGUGUUUGCAAUAACUGAACAUAUUGUUGAGAGAGUAACAAAAUAAUUUAUACUGCUUUAUAAAAAUAAUGCUGAGUUUAUGGUUUUUAUAUCAGCAGUAGCAUAAAACUGUUCAACAAAAUUUCACAUUCAUUUCUCAGUGAACAUCAACAGUUGCAUCUAUUAACAUUAUAAUCCUGUGUGAAGUGAUACCUGAAUUUUUGAUAAUGUGGUCUAAAUAAAUUCCAUAAAUGCAUCCAAUUAA
Molecule: long non-coding RNA, 1587 nt
Organism: Zootermopsis nevadensis
Lineage: Eukaryota; Metazoa; Arthropoda; Insecta; Blattodea; Termopsidae
Source: RefSeq, a predicted model, not a curated record